GGGUAGCGCAACACGUACACAACCUUCCUUUGAGAGGGGGAUAGCCCAGAGAAAUUUGGAUUAAUACCCCGUAAUAUUAUUGAAUGGCAUCGUUUAGUAAUUAAAGCUAAGGCGCUUGAAGAUGGGUGUGCGUCUGAUUAGGUAGUUGGUGCGGGUAAAGGCCCACCAAGCCUUCGAUCAGUAACUGGUGUGAGAGCACGACCAGUCACACGGGCACUGAGACACGGGCCCG
This 232-nucleotide ribosomal RNA is filed under the name uncultured bacterium. RNAcentral's name for it is "partial 16S ribosomal RNA". It matches the Rfam family "Bacterial small subunit ribosomal RNA", at positions 104 to 334 of the family's 1533-position model. The record is from RNAcentral.